Molecule: long non-coding RNA, 392 nt
Filed under: Vigna radiata
Lineage: Eukaryota; Viridiplantae; Streptophyta; Magnoliopsida; Fabales; Fabaceae
Description: long non-coding RNA (VRAD_LNC000338)
Source: RNAcentral
AUGGAAGUUUGGCAGUUCUGCUGAGUCUCCUCCAUUGUGAUAGGCAGAGAGCAGCAGACUUGACUUUGGCAGCCAUGCUUACUCUCUCUUCUUGCAAAGCAAAUAAGGUAGCAAUUGCUUCUUCUGGGUUGGGUUUGUAAUCAACAGCGAUUAUAGCACUCAGUCUCAGCUUGAUGCUAUUGCUACUCUGCAGAAUCUUACAACGUGCAAAGAGAUUGUUCCACUGAUUAACAAACAAAUUAAUUAUAUGCAUAGAACAAACAAAUUGGAAAUUCGGUUUCAUUAAUAGGAUACAACUAUGAUAUAUAAUUUAAUCUAAUCACUGGAAGCAAGACGACAUUGUCCCCAGCCAUCCAGAAAUUAACAUUGAUAUCUUGAUAAUUCCACACUCC